This 248-nucleotide unclassified non-coding RNA is filed under the name plant metagenome. Its description in RNAcentral is "partial contains small subunit ribosomal RNA and internal transcribed spacer 1". The stretch from base 1 to 46 matches the Rfam family "Eukaryotic small subunit ribosomal RNA", at positions 1786 to 1831 of the family's 1831-position model. The record is from RNAcentral.
AAGUCGUAACAAGGUUUCCGUAGGUGAACCUGCGGAAGGAUCAUUAACGAGUUUUGAAAGGGGUUGUAGCUGGCCUUCCGAGGCAUGUGCACGCCCUGCUCAUUCCACUCUACACCUGUGCACCUUACUGUGGGUCUCAGGCGAGCGUCGGUCGCUUCGCGGCGUCGUCGUUCAACUGGGCUCACGUUUUUACUACAAACUAUUAAAGUAUCAGAAUGUCUACUGCGAAUUAACGCAUUUAAAUACAA